RNAcentral lists this ribosomal RNA (274 nucleotides) under uncultured bacterium. RNAcentral's name for it is "partial 16S ribosomal RNA". It matches the Rfam family "Bacterial small subunit ribosomal RNA", at positions 523 to 796 of the family's 1533-position model. The record is from RNAcentral.
AUACGGAGGGUGCAAGCGUUAUUCGGAAUCACUGGGCGUAAAGGACGCGUAGGCGGGUUGGCAAGUCAGAUGUGAAAUCCUACAGCUUAACUGUAGAACUGCAUUUGAAACUGCUAACCUAGAGUAUGGGAGGGGGAGAUGGAAUUAGUGGUGUAGGGGUAAAAUCCGUAGAUAUCACUAGGAAUACCGAAAGCGAAGGCGAUCUCCUGGAGCAUAACUGACGCUAAGGCGUGAAAGCGUGGGGAGCAAACAGGAUUAGAAACCCUAGUAGUCC